This 166-nucleotide non-coding RNA is filed under the name Williamsia sp. Leaf354. RNAcentral's name for it is "FMN riboswitch aptamer (RFN element)". It matches the Rfam family "FMN riboswitch aptamer (RFN element)". Rfam says of the family: The RFN element is a highly conserved domain that is found frequently in the 5'-untranslated regions of prokaryotic mRNAs that encode for flavin mononucleotide (FMN) biosynthesis and transport proteins. This element is a metabolite-dependent riboswitch that directly binds FMN in the absence of proteins. In Bacillus subtilis, the riboswitch most likely controls gene expression by causing premature transcription termination within the 5' untranslated region of the ribDEAHT operon and precluding access to the ribosome-binding site of ypaA mRNA. The record is from Rfam by way of RNAcentral. RNAcentral also lists the same sequence under 1 other name. Lineage: Bacteria; Bacillati; Actinomycetota; Actinomycetes; Mycobacteriales; Nocardiaceae.
CAGAGUUCUCAGGGCGGGGUGCAAUUCCCCACCGGCGGUGAUGACGAGCGAUCGUCGAGCCCGCGAGCGCCCGCUCGCACCGAUCGACGAUCGGUGCGGACGGGGUCAGCAGAUUCCGGUGUGAACCCGGAGCCGACGGUCACAGUCCGGAUGAGAGAGAACCCCC